AUACAACUUUCAGCAACGGAUCUCUUGGCUCUCGCAUCGAUGAAGAACGCAGCGAAAUGCGAUAAGUAAUGUGAAUUGCAGAAUUCAGUGAAUCAUCGAAUCUUUGAACGCACCUUGCGCUCCUUGGUAUUCCGAGGAGCAUGCCUGUUUGAGUGUCAC
Molecule: ribosomal RNA, 159 nt
Filed under: Dermoloma inconspicuum
Lineage: Eukaryota; Fungi; Basidiomycota; Agaricomycetes; Agaricales; Tricholomataceae
Description: 5.8S ribosomal RNA
Rfam family: 5.8S ribosomal RNA
About the family: 5.8S ribosomal RNA (5.8S rRNA) is a component of the large subunit of the eukaryotic ribosome. It is transcribed by RNA polymerase I as part of the 45S precursor that also contains 18S and 28S rRNA. Functionally, it is thought that 5.8S rRNA may be involved in ribosome translocation.
Source: RNAcentral